CGUGAGAUGUUGGGUUAAGUCCCGCAACGAGCGCAACCCCUAUUGUUAGUUGCUACGCAAGAGCACUCUAGCGAGACUGCCGUUGACAAAACGGAGGAAGGUGGGGACGACGUCAAAUCAUCAUGCCCCUUAUGUCCUGGGCUACACACGUAAUACAAUGGCGUCCAACAAAGGGAAGCAAAACCGCGAGGUAGAGCAAAUCCCCAAAGACGUCUCAGUUCGGAUUGCAGGCUGCAACUCGCCUGUA
Molecule: ribosomal RNA, 247 nt
Filed under: uncultured bacterium
Lineage: Bacteria
Description: partial 16S ribosomal RNA
Rfam family: Bacterial small subunit ribosomal RNA
Source: RNAcentral